Molecule: ribosomal RNA, 246 nt
Filed under: uncultured bacterium
Lineage: Bacteria
Description: partial 16S ribosomal RNA
Rfam family: Bacterial small subunit ribosomal RNA
Source: RNAcentral
UACGUAGGGCAAGCGUUGUCCGGAUUAUUGGCGUAAAGAGCGUGUAGGCGGCCUGAAAGGUCAGCUGUGAAACUCGAGGCUCAACCUCGAGACGUCGGUUGAAACCAUCUGGCUAGAGUCCGGAAGAGGAGAGUGGAAUUCCUGGUGUAGCGGUGAAUGCGCAGAUAUCAGGAAGAACACCCGUGGCUAAGGCGGCUCUCUAGUACGGUACUGACGCUGAGACGCGAAAGCGUGGGAGCGAACAGG